AGUGAACGCUGGCGGUAGGCCUAACACAUGCAAGUCGAACGGCAGCACAGUAAGAGCUUGCUCUUACGGGUGGCGAGUGGCGGACGGGUGAGGAAUACAUCGGAAUCUACUUUUUCGUGGGGGAUAACGUAGGGAAACUUACGUUAAUACCGCAUACGACCUACGGGUGAAAGCAGGGGAUCUUCGGACCUUGCGCGAUUGAAUGAGCCGAUGUCGGAUUAGCUAGUUGGCGGGGUAAAGGCCCACCAAGGCGACGAUCCGUAGCUGGUCUGAGAGGAUGAUCAGCCACACUGGAACUGAGACACGGUCCAGACUCCUACGGGAGGCAGCAGUGGGGAAUAUUGGACAAUGGGCGCAAGCCUGAUCCAGCCAUACCGCGUGAGUGAAGAAGGCCUUCGGGUUGUAAAGCCCUUUUGUUGGGAAAGAAAAGCAGCAGGUUAAUACCCCGCUGUUCUGACGGUACCCAAAGAAUAAGCACCGGCUAACUUCGUG
This 492-nucleotide ribosomal RNA is filed under the name uncultured bacterium. Its description in RNAcentral is "partial 16S ribosomal RNA". It matches the Rfam family "Bacterial small subunit ribosomal RNA", at positions 29 to 507 of the family's 1533-position model. The record is from RNAcentral.